GAUCAUGGCUCAGGAUGAACGCUGGCGGCGUGCUUAACACAUGCAAGUCGAACGGGAAACCUUUUAUUGAAGCUUCGGCAGAUUUAGCUGGUUUCUAGUGGCGGACGGGUGAGUAACGCGUGGGUAACCUGCCUUGUACAGGGGGGAUAACAGUCAGAAAUGACUGCUAAUACCGCAUAAGCGCACAGGACCGCAUGGUCCGGUGUGAAAAACUCCGGUGGUAUAAGAUGGACCCGCGUUGGAUUAGCUUG
This 251-nucleotide ribosomal RNA is filed under the name uncultured bacterium. RNAcentral describes it as "partial 16S ribosomal RNA". It matches the Rfam family "Bacterial small subunit ribosomal RNA", at positions 15 to 248 of the family's 1533-position model. The record is from RNAcentral.